This is a long non-coding RNA of Rhineura floridana, 823 nucleotides long. RefSeq lists it as uncharacterized. The record is from RefSeq and is a predicted model, not a curated record. The transcript has 2 exons. NCBI's taxonomy places the organism in Eukaryota, Metazoa, Chordata, Lepidosauria, Squamata, Rhineuridae.
GCUGUGUCUGGGGUGCUCUGCAGCUGAGAGGGAGAAGGAGCUGGGUUCUCAGGAGUUGCCUCCAUUUCUCCUUCUGGGUCUGCUGCUUCUGGGUCUGCUGCUGUUACUCCCGAGUCAUCCUCAUCUGAUGAGUCCUCUGACGGGGCCAUGACAGAGCUUUGUUAUUGCCUGAGACCAGAGAGCAGCAGCCCCACCUCACUCCCUGUUUACCGAGCCCACAGUGCCUUCCACAGUUUCCGGUAUUGCAGCCGGAGGUGAAGGGAAGGAGCAUCUCUGUCUCCCACCUGCAGUCACUUACAGCAAUAAACUUCUCUGGAGCCACUUCCAAGAAUUUUGCCCUCAUGGUCUGCUAAGAACUUCCUGUAGCUUUCUUCCCAGGCAUCCAAAGACUCCUCCAGAGGAUAGCAGUGGGAUCAAUCAAAGAUUUGGUCCCAACCUGUAUCUCUUGAAAAGAACUCAAGAUAAGUCCAUAGUCUAUAAGUACCUGCCUGUUUUAUUUCUGCCCAGUGCAGCCAACUGGACCCCCUUCAACUGUGAACUAAGCAUGUGCUCAAUAAAUAAAGAACGUGGGCAAGAAAAAAGAAGCAAGGGAUUAAUGGUCUGAGUAUUUUCAGUGCUCAGAAUGAGAACUGGGAAAACCUGGGUUCAAAUCCUGGCUCAGCUAUGAAGCAUACUGACUGAUCCUGGCCAGUGAACUCUCCCUCAACCUAAUCUACCCUGCAGGGUUGUUAUGAGGACAAAGGGGACUAACCCUUAUGUAAGCUUGAAAGCUCUGUGAAGGAAGGGAUAUACAUAUUGUGAAUAAAUGGGGUGUUGAAAUAUG